Molecule: ribosomal RNA, 253 nt
Filed under: uncultured bacterium
Lineage: Bacteria
Description: partial 16S ribosomal RNA
Rfam family: Bacterial small subunit ribosomal RNA
Source: RNAcentral
CGUAUGGUGCAAGCGUUAUCCGGAUUUACUGGGUGUAAAGGGAGCGCAGGCGGUACGGCAAGUCUGAUGUGAAAGCCCGGGGCUCAACCCCGGUACUGCAUUGGAAACUGUCGGACUAGAGUGUCGGAGGGUAAGUGGAAUUCCUAGUGUAGCGGUGAAAUGCGUAGAUAUUAGGAGGAACACCAGUGGCGAAGGCGGCUUACUGGACGAUUACUGACGCUGAGGCUCGAAAGCGUGGGGAGCAAACAGGAUU